Molecule: ribosomal RNA, 399 nt
Filed under: Klebsiella oxytoca
Lineage: Bacteria; Pseudomonadati; Pseudomonadota; Gammaproteobacteria; Enterobacterales; Enterobacteriaceae
Description: bacterial SSU rRNA
Rfam family: Bacterial small subunit ribosomal RNA
Source: RNAcentral
GCGAUUGGCGCAGCCUACCAUGCAAGUCGAACGGUAGCACAGAGAGCUUGCUCUCGGGUGACGAGUGGCGGACGGGUGAGUAAUGUCUGGGAAACUGCCUGAUGGAGGGGGAUAACUACUGGAAACGGUAGCUAAUACCGCAUAACGUCGCAAGACCAAAGAGGGGGACCUUCGGGCCUCUUGCCAUCAGAUGUGCCCAGAUGGGAUUAGCUAGUAGGUGGGGUAACGGCUCACCUAGGCGACGAUCCCUAGCUGGUCUGAGAGGAUGACCAGCCACACUGGAACUGAGACACGGUCCAGACUCCUACGGGAGGCAGCAGUGGGGAAUAUUGCACAAUGGGCGCAAGCCUGAUGCAGCCAUGCCGCGUGUAUGAAGAAGGCCUUCGGGUUGUAAAGUAC